AGUCGAGCGAGAACUUCGGUUCUAGCGGCGGACGGGUUAGUAACGCGUGGGAACGUGCCCUUCACUACGGAAUAGUCCCGGGAAACUGGGUUUAAUACCGUAUACGCCCUUCGGGGGAAAGAAUUUCGGUGAAGGAUCGGCCCGCGUUGGAUUAGGUAGUUGGUGGGGUAACGGCCUACCAAGCCUACGAUCCAUAGCUGGUUUGAGAGGAUGAUCAGCAACACUGGGACUGAGACACGGCCCAGACUCCUACGGGAGGCAGCAGUGGGGAAUCUUAGACAAUGGGGGAAACCCUGAUCUAGCCAUGCCGCGUGAGUGACGAAGGCCCUGGGGUCGUAAAGCUCUUUCACCAGGGAAGAUAAUGACGGUACCUGGAGAAGAAACCCCGGCUAACUCCGUGCCAGCAGCCGCGGUAAUACGGAGGGGGUUAGCGUUGUUCGGAAUUACUGGGCGUAAAGCGCGCGUAGGCUGACUAUUAAGUCAGAGGUGAAAUCCCGGGGCUCAACCCCGGAACUGCCUUUGAUACUGGUAGUCUUGAGUUCGAGAGAGGUAAGUGGAAUUCCGAGUGUAGAGGUGAAAUUCGUAGAUAUUCGGAGGAACACCAGUGGCGAAGGCGGCUUACUGGCUCGAUACUGACGCUGAGGUGCGAAAGUGUGGGGAGCAAACAGGAUUAGAUACC
RNAcentral lists this ribosomal RNA (679 nucleotides) under uncultured bacterium. RNAcentral describes it as "bacterial SSU rRNA". It matches the Rfam family "Bacterial small subunit ribosomal RNA", at positions 60 to 786 of the family's 1533-position model. The record is from RNAcentral.